This is a non-coding RNA of Drosophila melanogaster (fruit fly), 492 nucleotides long. The record is from Ensembl. Lineage: Eukaryota; Metazoa; Arthropoda; Insecta; Diptera; Drosophilidae.
CUCGAAAGGAAGUCGUUGUGGAAUGCAUUGGCUUUGAAGCAAAGUUAUUCCACCCACUUAAUAUGACAAAAAUGAAUUAGGCCUUAACGGUACUUGGUCCGAUAUUUGUCUGUGGAUCCUAAGUGGAUUAACUUCGAUACUUUGCCGCUUGGCUUUCAGCUAACCCUUGCAGCCGACAUCUUCGCAUCGUUGGCUCUCCCCUAACACUUAACUUGAUUAGUUUCCGACUGGAGUUCCAUUGGCCACCUGCAGUUACCUUAUGGCAAACUGGCAGCAACUGGCCCACCAUCUCUGGCAAUAUUAAUUUCAAUAAAUCAACAAGUGCAUUUUUAAAAUGAAGAAAGUUUUGCACACUUUUCGAGGAAAGGAUGAAACUUCGUUUUCGACUGCAUACGAAAUGGCUGCUGGAAAAUCAAGCAGAAAAUAUUUGCCAAACUUUUCACAUUGAGCUGUGUUUACCUAAUGUAUUAAAAUGUUCCUCCAUUGAUGAGU